This 301-nucleotide ribosomal RNA is filed under the name uncultured bacterium. RNAcentral describes it as "partial 16S ribosomal RNA". It matches the Rfam family "Bacterial small subunit ribosomal RNA", at positions 509 to 807 of the family's 1533-position model. The record is from RNAcentral.
CAGCAGCCGCGGUAAUACGAAGGGGGCUAGCGUUGUUCGGAUUUACUGGGCGUAAAGCGCACGUAGGCGGACUUUUAAGUCAGGGGUGAAAUCCCGGGGCUCAACCCCGGAACUGCCUUUGAUACUGGAAGUCUUGAGUAUGGUAGAGGUGAGUGGAAUUCCGAGUGUAGAGGUGAAAUUCGUAGAUAUUCGGAGGAACACCAGUGGCGAAGGCGGCUCACUGGACCAUUACUGACGCUGAGGCACGAAAGCGUGGGGAGCAAACAGGAUUAGAUACCCGAGUAGUCCCUGUCUCUUAUAC